CCGCGAAUGGCUCAUUACAUCGGCCGUGGUUCCUUAGAUCGUACUUUUUUACUUGGAUAACUGUGGUAAUUCUAGAGCUAAUACAUGCAGCAGAGCUCCGACCCUCUGGGAACGAGCGCUUUUAUUAGACCAAGACCAAUCGGACCUCGUGUCCGUUCUUUGUGGCGACUCUGUAUAACUUUGGGCUGAUCGCACGGGCUUGUCCCGGCGACGCAUCUUUCAAGUGUCCGCCUUAUCAACUGUCGAUGGUAGGUUAUGCGCCUACCAUGGUUGUAACGGGUAACGGGGAAUCAGGGUUCGAUUCCGGAGAGGGAGCCUGAGAAACGGCUACCACAUCCAAGGAAGGCAGCAGGCGCGUAAAUUACCCAUUUCCGGCACGGAGAGGUAGUGACGAAAAAUAACAAUACGGGACUCUUAUGAGACCCCGUAAUUGGAAUGAGUACACUCUAAAUCCUUUAACGAGGAUCUAUUAGAGGGCAAGUCUGAUGCCAGCAGCCGCGGUAAUAUCAGUUCUAAUAGCGUAUAUUAAAGUUGUUGCGGUUAAAAAGCUCGUAGUUGGAUCUCAGUUCCAGACAGGCGGUCCGCCUAACGGUGGUUACUGCCUGGCCUGAACAACCAGUCGGUUUCCCUAGAUGAUCUUCACCGGUUGUCUUGGGUGACCGACACGUUUACUUUGAAAAAAUUAGAGUGCUCAAAGCAGGCGUAUUGCUUGAAUAAUGGUGCAUGGAAUAAUAGAAUAGGACCUCGGUUCUAUUUUGUUGGUUUUCGGAACACGAGGGCCAAGAAUGUUUUCANUAAUCAAGAACGAAAGUUAGAGGUUCGAAGGCGAUCAGAUACCGCCCUAGUUCUAACCAUAAACGAUGCCAACCAGCGAUCCGCCUGAGUUCCUCAAAUGACUCGGCGGGCAGCUUCCGGGAAACCAAAGUGUUUGGGUUCCGGGGGAAGUAUGGUUGCAAAGCUGAAACUUAAAGGAAUUGACGGAAGGGCACCACCAGUUGUGGAGCUUGCGGCUCAAUUUGACUCAACACGGGACAACUCACCCGGCCCGGACACUGGAAGGAUUGACAGAUUAAGAGCUCUUUCUUGAUUCAGUGGGUGGUGGUGCAUGGCCGUUCUUAGUUGGUGAAGUGAUUUGUCUGGUCAAUUCCGAUAACGAGCGAGAUUCUAGCCUACUAAAUAGGUGUCCCGAUCAACUUUGUCGGGCGUUCUUCUUAGAGGGACAAGCGGCUUUUAGCCGCACGAAACAGAGCAAUAGCAGGUCUGAAAUGCCCUUCGAUGUCUGGGGCCGCACGCGUGCUACACUGAAGGAAUCAGCGUGUGUUUUCCCUGUCCGGUAGGACUGGGUAACCCGCUAAACCUCCUUCGUGAUAGGGAUAGGGGCUUGCAAUUGUUCCCCUUGAACGAGGAAUAUCCAGUAAGCACGAGUCAUAAGCUCGUGUUGAUUACGUCCCUGCCCUUUGUGCACACCGCCCGUCGCUAUUACCGAUUGAAUGAUUUAGUGAGGUCUUCGGACUGGCGCUCGGAGCGGCCUUCGGCCGUGCCGAUGUGCCGGAAAGAUGACCAAACUUGAUCAUU
This 1575-nucleotide ribosomal RNA is filed under the name Opopaea sp. LFY01. RNAcentral's name for it is "SSU rRNA". It matches the Rfam family "Eukaryotic small subunit ribosomal RNA". The record is from RNAcentral. Lineage: Eukaryota; Metazoa; Arthropoda; Arachnida; Araneae; Oonopidae.